GAUGAACGCUGGCGGCGUGCCUAAUACAUGCAAGUCGAGCGAACGGACGAGAAGCUUGCUUCUCUGAUGUUAGCGGCGGACGGGUGAGUAACACGUGGAUAACCUACCUAUAAAACUGGGAUAACUUCGGGAAACCGUAGCUAAUACCGGAUAAUAUUUUGAACCGCAUGGUUCAAAAGUGAAAGACGGUCUUGCUGUCACUUAUAGAUGGAUCCGCGCUGCAUUAGCUAGUUGGUAAGGUAACGGCUUACCAAGGCAACGAUGCAUAGCCGACCUGAGAGGGUGAUCGGCCACACUGGAACUGAGACACGGUCCAGACUCCUACGGGAGGCAGCAGUAGGGAAUCUUCCGCAAUGGGCGAAAGCCUGACGGAGCAACGCCGCGUGAGUGAUGAAGGUCUUCGGAUCGUAAAACUCUGUUAUUAGGGAAGAACAUAUGUGUAAGUAACUGUGCACAUCUUGACGGUACCUAAUCAGAAAGCCACGGCUAACUACGUG
RNAcentral lists this ribosomal RNA (497 nucleotides) under uncultured bacterium. Its description in RNAcentral is "partial 16S ribosomal RNA". It matches the Rfam family "Bacterial small subunit ribosomal RNA", at positions 28 to 507 of the family's 1533-position model. The record is from RNAcentral.